AUGCUCAGGUCUCGUCCAUAUCCAAUGCCAAGUUUUUCUGUUAAGAUGCUUAAGAGGUACAAUUUCUGCUCUACAUGGAAUUCUUUUGGAGUUGAAUUGCAGUGUGAUCUGCUGAGGACUACAACACCAUUGCCAUUCCAUUAUUCUACUAAGGUUUGGUAUAAUGCUGGCAUGACACUGAAGGUAAAUUGCUCUUGUCUUGCAAUGUUAUUCACUUGGACUUCUCAGGGAGCACAGAUGGACAGGAAAACUGUUUUGGUGGUACAGUCUGACUUCCAGUUUUGCAUUCUGGGAAAUGGCAGCAUGCAAGUCUGUGUUGGCGAGCUAGUGAUUGCUGGUUUCUUGCAAGACAGGAUUACCUCAUAUCUCAGUUAUAGGUCUCUAAAAAAUUUCAAUGCACAAUUUCACUAA
RNAcentral lists this ribosomal RNA (411 nucleotides) under Triticum aestivum (bread wheat). RNAcentral's name for it is "partial small subunit ribosomal RNA". The record is from RNAcentral. Lineage: Eukaryota; Viridiplantae; Streptophyta; Magnoliopsida; Poales; Poaceae.